CAGAAAAUAGUUUAUAUAAAAUAUUAAUUUUGGAGAUUAAAGAUGGGAGUUUCUCUUUUCUGA
RNAcentral lists this transfer RNA (63 nucleotides) under Sciobius sp. SCI01. RNAcentral's name for it is "tRNA-Pro". The record is from RNAcentral. Lineage: Eukaryota; Metazoa; Arthropoda; Insecta; Coleoptera; Curculionidae.